CAGCUCACAUCUGUGGAGACAGAGAACAUCAGCCUUGCGUGGUUCCACACUAAAUGAAGCUCUGCUAUAGGCAUGCAACAAAUGCUGGGUGCCUGCUCUAGGCCAGUUUACAGUUAGUCCUGGAGACUCAGAGUAAGGGAGAGUCUGCCUUGAAGGAGUAUCCAGUGCAGUCACAGAAGAAGACAUAUACACAGCAGCUCACAAUGCAGUGUGAUAUAUGUCAGCCCUUAUUUUCAAUCCUUUGGCUAAGAGGCCAAGAAAAUGUGGGAACAUCCUGUCCAGACACACCAGUAAUACCUGAGCUACGGAAGGAAAUACGGAAGGAAAUACAGUACCAGUAGAGCUUAGACGAUGUGAUGGUAAACUCGACUGUUAACAAGAUUGGAUUGAGAGACAUCCAAAGAUUGGUAAGGCACUCU
Non-coding RNA from Peromyscus maniculatus bairdii (prairie deer mouse), 419 nucleotides. The record is from RefSeq and is a predicted model, not a curated record. Lineage: Eukaryota; Metazoa; Chordata; Mammalia; Rodentia; Cricetidae.